AGUGAACGCUGGCGGUAGGCCCAACACAUGCAAGUCGAACGGUAGCACAGUAAGAGCUUGCUCUUACGGGUGGCGAGUGGCGGACGGGUGAGGAAUACAUCGGAAUCUACUUUUUCGUGGGGGAUAACGUAGGGAAACUUACGCUAAUACCGCAUACGACCUACGGGUGAAAGCAGGGGAUCUUCGGACCUUGCGCGAUUGAAUGAGCCGAUGUCGGAUUAGCUAGUUGGCGGGGUAAAGGCCCACCAAGGCGACGAUCCGUAGCUGGUCUGAGAGGAUGAUCAGCCACACUGGAACCGAGACACGGUCCAGACUCCUACGGGAGGCAGCAGUGGGGAAUAUUGGACAAUGGGCGCAAGCCUGAUCCAGCCAUACCGCGUGGGUGAAGAAGGCCUUCGGGUUGUAAAGCCCUUUUGUUGGGAAAGAAAAGCAGCAGGUUAAUACCCCGCUGUUCUGACGGUACCCAAAGAAUAAGCACCGGCUAACUUCGUG
Molecule: ribosomal RNA, 492 nt
Filed under: uncultured bacterium
Lineage: Bacteria
Description: partial 16S ribosomal RNA
Rfam family: Bacterial small subunit ribosomal RNA
Source: RNAcentral